AAGAAGAACAAGAAGAGGAACCAACGACCCCAAUUGGGAUAAAUAUAUCUCGACAGUCAUCAACAAGAUCACAUGAAGAACAAGGAGAACAACAACAACAAAGACAAGCUCGUGGUAAACGAGUCAAUUUCCAAACUAUCGAUGAAGAUGAACCAGUAAGACAACCUUUUCCGGCAAUGCCACCUCCUAGUGGUAGAGCUGUUUCACAUGUGUGGUCGUAUUUCACAAAAGAACCAACCGAGAAUCCAGAUAUUUUCUUAUGCACUUGUCAAAUUUGUGAAAGUCAAGGAGUAAAGCCCUUAGUUUCAUACAGUUUCGCCAGAGGUGGUGGUACGGGAUCUUUUAACAAAUAUUUGGCAAAGAAGCAUGGAAUCACAAAAGAAACUCAUGCAGCAAGCG
Long non-coding RNA from Amaranthus tricolor (Joseph's coat), 399 nucleotides. RefSeq lists it as uncharacterized. The record is from RefSeq and is a predicted model, not a curated record. Lineage: Eukaryota; Viridiplantae; Streptophyta; Magnoliopsida; Caryophyllales; Amaranthaceae. The transcript is spliced from 3 exons.